AGCAUGUGGUUUAAUUCGAUGCAACGCGAAGAACCUUACCUGGUCUUGACAUAUCUAGAAUCCUGCAGAGAUGCGGGAGUGCCUUCGGGAAUUAGAAUACAGGUGCUGCAUGGCUGUCGUCAGCUCGUGUCGUGAGAUGUUGGGUUAAGUCCCGCAACGAGCGCAACCCUUGUCCUUAGUUACCAGCGGGUUAAGCCGGCAACUCUAAGGAUACUGCCAGUGACAAACUGGAGGAAGGCGGGGACGACGUCAAGUCAUCAUGGCCCUUACGACCAGGGCUACACACGUGCUACAAUGGUAGGUACAGAGGGCAGCUACACAGCGAUGUGAUGCGAAUCUCAAAAAGCCUAUCGUAGUCCAGAUUGGAGUCUGCAACUCGACUCCAUGAAGUAGGAAUCGCUAGUAAUCGCGGAUCAGAAUGCCGCGGUGAAUACGUUCCCGGGCCUUGUACACACCGCCCGUCACACCAUGGGAGUUGAUUGCACCAGAAGUGGAUAGCUUAACCUUCGGGGAGGCGUUCACCACGGUGUGGUUGAUGACUGGGGUGAAGUCGUAACAAGGUA
This 563-nucleotide ribosomal RNA is filed under the name uncultured bacterium. RNAcentral's name for it is "bacterial SSU rRNA". It matches the Rfam family "Bacterial small subunit ribosomal RNA", at positions 936 to 1498 of the family's 1533-position model. The record is from RNAcentral.